AUACGGAGGGUGCGAGCGUUAUCCGGAAUCACUGGGUUUAAAGGGUGCGUAGGCGGCCAUAUUAGUCAGUAGUGAAAGGUUGCAGCUUAACUGUAAGACUGCUAUUGAAACUGUAUGGCUUGAAUUAGGAUGAGGUAGGCGGAAUGUGACAUGUAGCGGUGAAAUGCUUAGAUAUGUCAUAGAACACCGAUUGCGUAGGCAGCUUACUAGACCUAUAUUGACGCUGAGGCACGAAAGCGUGGGGAGCGAACAGGAUUAGAAACCCUGGUAGUCC
Molecule: ribosomal RNA, 274 nt
Filed under: uncultured bacterium
Lineage: Bacteria
Description: partial 16S ribosomal RNA
Rfam family: Bacterial small subunit ribosomal RNA
Source: RNAcentral